CCUACGGGCGGCAGCAGUGGGGAAUAUUGGACAAUGGGGGCAACCCUGAUCCAGCCAUGCCGCGUGUGUGAAGAAGGCCCUCGGGUUGUAAAGCACUUUCAGUGAGGAAGAACGCCUGGUGGUUAAUACCCAUCAGGAAAGACAUCACUCACAGAAGAAGCACCGGCUAACUCCGUGCCAGCAGCCGCGGUAAUACGGAGGGUGCGAGCGUUAAUCGGAAUUACUGGGCGUAAAGCGCGCGUAGGUGGCUUGAUAAGCCGGUUGUGAAAGCCCCGGGCUCAACCUGGGAACGGCAUCCGGAACUGUCAAGCUAGAGUGCAGGAGAGGAAGGUAGAAUUCCCGGUGUAGCGGUGAAAUGCGUAGAGAUCGGGAGGAAUACCAGUGGCGAAGGCGGCCUUCUGGACUGACACUGACACUGAGGUGCGAAAGCGUGGGUAGCAAACCGGAUUAGAUACCCGAGUAGUC
Molecule: ribosomal RNA, 465 nt
Filed under: Vreelandella stevensii
Lineage: Bacteria; Pseudomonadati; Pseudomonadota; Gammaproteobacteria; Oceanospirillales; Halomonadaceae
Description: partial 16S ribosomal RNA
Rfam family: Bacterial small subunit ribosomal RNA
Source: RNAcentral